GCCGGGCAUGGUGGUGCAUGACUGUAUAGUCCCAGCUACUCGGGAGGCUGAGGUGGGAGGGUCUCUUGAGCCCAGGAGUUCUGGGCUGUAGUGCGCUAUGCUGAUUGGGUGUCCGCACUAAGUUUGUCAUCAAUAUGGUGACCUCCUGGGAGCGGGGGACCAUCACAUUUCCUAAGGAGGGGUGAACCGGCCCAGGUCGGAAACGAAGCAGGUCAGAACUUCCGUGCUGAUUAGUAGUGGGCUUGUGCCUGUGAAUAGCCACCGCACUCCAGCCUGGGCAACAAAGUGAGACCCCCGUCUCU
Callithrix jacchus (white-tufted-ear marmoset) is the source of this 302-nucleotide unclassified non-coding RNA. It matches the Rfam family "Metazoan signal recognition particle RNA". Rfam says of the family: The signal recognition particle (SRP) is a universally conserved ribonucleoprotein. It is involved in the co-translational targeting of proteins to membranes. Lineage: Eukaryota; Metazoa; Chordata; Mammalia; Primates; Cebidae. The record is from Ensembl.